GAUUUCUUAGUAUAAUGUAGUAUGUUUAACUUCCAAUUAAAAGGUUAAGGGAAUUA
Molecule: transfer RNA, 56 nt
Filed under: Heterakis gallinarum
Lineage: Eukaryota; Metazoa; Nematoda; Chromadorea; Rhabditida; Heterakidae
Description: tRNA-Gly
Source: RNAcentral